GCCUUCGUAGUGUAAUGAUCAGCACACUCGGACCGUAUUCGAGAGGUCCAAGGUUCGAUUCCCGGCGAGGGCA
Molecule: transfer RNA, 73 nt
Filed under: Stegodyphus mimosarum
Lineage: Eukaryota; Metazoa; Arthropoda; Arachnida; Araneae; Eresidae
Rfam family: tRNA
About the family: Transfer RNA (tRNA) molecules are approximately 80 nucleotides in length. Their secondary structure includes four short double-helical elements and three loops (D, anti-codon, and T loops).
Source: Rfam by way of RNAcentral